RNAcentral lists this unclassified non-coding RNA (456 nucleotides) under Hevea brasiliensis (rubber tree). Lineage: Eukaryota; Viridiplantae; Streptophyta; Magnoliopsida; Malpighiales; Euphorbiaceae. The record is from RNAcentral.
GGAGAUUCUGAGGAGAAUUCUAAUGAGAAACAAUCAAAUUCAAAUGAUACAGAAGAGAAAAACGAUGAUGAGAAAAAAACAGAUGACUCAAAUGAUGCUAAAGAUGGAGAAAAUAAUAACGGUCAGGAAGGGGAGAAUGUGAAGCUAAAUGAAAAAAGCUCUGAUGACACUAAUGAAAAUAACCAAUCCAAAAACCCGACUUCUGGUGAGGAGUUUCCUUCUGGUGCUCAGUCGGAGCUUUUGAAUGAAACAUCAACACAAAAUGGGGCAUGGUCAACUCAGGCAGCAGAGUCAAAGAAUGAAAAAGAGACUCAAAGAUCUUCCACGAAACAAGCUGGGUACAAGUGGAAAAUUUGCAACGUUACUGCUGGACCAGAUUACAUUCCUUGCCUUGACAAUUUGCAAGCAAUUAGGAGUCUUCCAAGUACAAAACAUUAUGAACAUCGAGAGAGGCAU